Molecule: ribosomal RNA, 460 nt
Filed under: uncultured bacterium
Lineage: Bacteria
Description: partial 16S ribosomal RNA
Rfam family: Bacterial small subunit ribosomal RNA
Source: RNAcentral
CCUACGGGAGACAGCAGUGAGGAAUAUUGGUCAAUGGACGAGAGUCUGAACCAGCCAAGUAGCGUGAAGGAUGACUGCCCUAUGGGUUGUAAACUUCUUUUAUAUGGGAAUAAAACGUUCCACGUGUGGGAUUUUGUAUGUACCAUAUGACUAAGGAUCGGCUAACUACGUUCCAGCAGCCGCGGUAAUACGGAGGAUCCGAGCGUUAUCCGGAUUUAUUGGGUUUAAAGGGAGCGUAGGUGGAUUGUUAAGUCAGUUGUGAAAGUUUGCGGCUCAACCGUAAAAUUGCAGUUGAAACUGGCAGUCUAGAGUACAGUAGAGGUGGGCGGAAUUCGUGGUGUAGCGGUGAAAUGCUUAGAUAUCACGAAGAACUCCGAUUGCGAAGGCAGUUCACUGGACUGCAACUGACACUGAGGCUCGAAAGUGUGGGUAUCAAACAGGAUUAGAUACCCGUGUAGUC